ACUAGUGGCGGACGGGUGAGUAAUGUAUGAGCAACCUGCCUUUCAGAGGGGGACACAGUUGAAACGACUGCUAAUACCGCAUAAUGUAUCGAGGAGGCAUCUCCAUGAUACCAAAGGAGCAAUCCGCUGAAAGAUGGGCUCAUAUCUGAUUAGUUAGUUGGCAGGGUAACGGCCUACCAAGACUGCGAUCAGUAGCCGGACUGAGAGGUUGAACGGCCACAUUGGGACUGAGAUACGGCCCAGACUCCUACGGGAGGCAGCAGUGGGGAAUAUUGGGCAAUGGGCGAAAGCCUCGACCCAGCAACGCCGCGUGAAGGAAGAAGGUCUUCGGAUUGUAAACUUCUUUUAUGAGGGACGAAGGACGUGACGGUACCUCAUGAAUAAGCCACGGCUAACUACGUGCCAGCCGCCGC
RNAcentral lists this ribosomal RNA (413 nucleotides) under uncultured bacterium. Its description in RNAcentral is "bacterial SSU rRNA". It matches the Rfam family "Bacterial small subunit ribosomal RNA", at positions 91 to 518 of the family's 1533-position model. The record is from RNAcentral.